AGCAACGGAUCUCUUGGCUCUCGCAUCGAUGAAGAACGCAGCGAAAUGCGAUAAGUAAUGUGAAUUGCAGAAUUCAGUGAAUCAUCGAAUCUUUGAACGCACCUUGCACUCCUUGGUAUUCCGAGGAGCAUGCCUGUUUGAGUGU
RNAcentral lists this ribosomal RNA (145 nucleotides) under Leucocoprinus gongylophorus. Its description in RNAcentral is "Leucoagaricus gongylophorus 5.8S ribosomal RNA". It matches the Rfam family "5.8S ribosomal RNA". From Rfam's summary of the family: 5.8S ribosomal RNA (5.8S rRNA) is a component of the large subunit of the eukaryotic ribosome. It is transcribed by RNA polymerase I as part of the 45S precursor that also contains 18S and 28S rRNA. Functionally, it is thought that 5.8S rRNA may be involved in ribosome translocation. Lineage: Eukaryota; Fungi; Basidiomycota; Agaricomycetes; Agaricales; Agaricaceae. The record is from RNAcentral.